RNAcentral lists this ribosomal RNA (459 nucleotides) under uncultured bacterium. RNAcentral describes it as "partial 16S ribosomal RNA". It matches the Rfam family "Bacterial small subunit ribosomal RNA", at positions 338 to 795 of the family's 1533-position model. The record is from RNAcentral.
CCUACGGGUGGCAGCAGUGAGGAAUAUUGGUCAAUGGUCGGGAGACUGAACCAGCCAAGCCGCGUGAGGGAGGAAGGUACAGAGUAUCGUAAACCUCUUUUGUCAGGGAACAAAGACUGGGACGCGUCCCCGGAUGAGUGUACCUGAAGAAAAAGCAUCGGCUAACUCCGUUCCAGCAGCCGCGGUAAUACGGAGGCUGCGGGCGUUAUCCGGAUUUAUUGGGGUUAAGGGGUGCGCAGGCGGUCUUUUAAGUAAGCGGUAAAAGCCCGGGGCGCAACCCCGGCCCGCCGUUGAAACUGGCAGUCUCGAGUUGGAGAGAAGUAUGCGGAAGGCGCGGUGUAGCGGUGAAAUGCAUAGAUAUCGCGCAGAACUCCGAUGGCGAAGGCAGCAUGCCGGCUCCACACUGACGCUGAGGCACGAAAGCGUGGGUAUCGAACAGGAUUAGAUACCCCGGUAGUC